GGGACCCCAAAGGAAGCCCGGAUAUGGAGUCUUGGAGAGAAUCCUCCAUCCUCGACUUAACGUGUCAAACUCUGGGGCUGGGGAAGCUAAGUCCCUUCAUCAGGAAGGAAAAACCAGGCUUCCCCAUUUGGACCUUGCGCGGCCGGCCUCGCCCGCCGGCUCCCAGGGGAGAAGGCGCGGGCCCGUGCGGGGCGCGGCCCCACCGCCUCGCACGCCGGGCCCCUCCCGCCGCAGAGGGCGCGCUCGCGCCCGGGCGGGCACCUGUCCCCUCCCCACCUUCGGCGGCUCCGCGGACCAAGCAAGGGUCCGACGCCCCACAGCCACUACCAGCUGGGGACCGCCGGCAGCAGGGCGAGCGCCGCAGGCCCAGUGGGCUGCAGGAAUCCUCCGAAACUUACAGUUUUCCUACAGCGUGCGCGUCACGGCGAGGUGACGUCACGGGCCCCGGCGUUCCGGGAGGUCAGGCCGCAGGGCGCGGACCACUCGGCCCCACGGCUCCGCCCCAGCGCGCCGGCGGGAGGGACGCCCCUUUGCUCAGCGGCCCCGCCCCCGCCGUGGAGCGCUGGGCGCAGGCGCGGAAAGCGCGGCCGCCGCCUGGCGGGCUUCGCAGGCCGGGACGCUUCGGGCGGGGGCUGCUUUGCUGGAGCUUCGUUUAAAGCGUGUGGCGGGGGUUCAAUAGAAGGGGACGAAGACCCCCGGGAACACAGCAAACAGGCUGUCGCCCAGGUGGUCGGAGUGGGACGCCAGAGUUGUGAGGCACUGCAUCAUCUCAUUUAAUCCUUGCAGCUGGUUGAGAAUCAAGACCAAGGGAAACAAAAUCCCACUUGGCAACCCCCACGCAUCCCUCUCAGCGCCCGGAUCUGGUCUGAAAGAUCUGUUCCCAGGUUUUUGCCAUCAUCAGGAGUAUGAUACACACACACAGAGAAACCACAUAGGCUAAGCCUGGGCCCUCUCUGCCCGUGAACUCUCUAUCCACAGAGUUUAACAGGGAGCCAACUUGCAAAGCAAAAACAUGGUUUUCAGAGUUUCAGCCCCAGCAUCAUAAGCAAAGCAUCAAAGGGAAAACGGUCCUGAUGACUUUGCCCAGUUUUUAAACUUGGAAUUGUCUUACAUGGAACUGAAAAGCCCUCGCACACAAGGAGAUUAAUCUCACGGUGUUGAAACUUUUGGAAACCUGGCAUGGAAUUUUCUUCGUAGAUUUGAAAUUCAACUAAGAGAGAUCUACAAUUAGUAAACAAAUAUGGGGAAGUGUUCAACCUCAUUAGCAAUCCAAGAUAUACAAAUCAGAGCAGCAAUAAGAUAACCUUAAUAGUUUGGAAUAGUGCUGGUUUCUAGUGCUGGCUGCCUUGCUGUUACUUCUACUUUGAAAUGUUGCUGGAGGUAGUACAAUUGAGACAAACCCUAUAAAAAAUAAUUUGGCAAUGCAUUUCAAGAACCACAAAAUAUUCUGGAUCUGUAUUUUUUGAAAAUGAAAUUGGAAUCUACAAAAUAAGAAAAAAACUAUAUGCAUAAGAGUUUUUGUGUCACCUUUAUUUACAAGAUAGUCAGUGUACCUGGAACUGCUGUUAAUUAGUUCAGUAGAUUGUCUGAGGUUUUGUGUCCCUUAGACGCAGAGCCUGCGAUGGGGAUCAUUGUGCAGUGAUUUCGUGAGAGUGCUUGCAG
This 1662-nucleotide long non-coding RNA is filed under the name Equus asinus (donkey). RNAcentral describes it as "lncRNA (ENSEASG00005032218.1)". The record is from RNAcentral. Lineage: Eukaryota; Metazoa; Chordata; Mammalia; Perissodactyla; Equidae.